UACAGAGGUCUCAAGCGUUGUUCGGAUUCAUUGGGCGUAAAGGGUGCGUAGGUGGCGCCGUAAGUCAGGUGCGAAAUUUCGGAGCUUAACUCCGAAACUGCAUUUGAUACUGCGGUGCUUGAGGACUGGAGAGGAGACUGGAAUUUACGGUGUAGCAGUGAAAUGCGUAGAGAUCGUAAGGAAGACCAGUGGCGAAGGCGGGUCUCUGGACAGUUCCUGACGCUGAGGCACGAAGGCCAGGGGAGCAAACGGG
RNAcentral lists this ribosomal RNA (253 nucleotides) under uncultured bacterium. RNAcentral describes it as "partial 16S ribosomal RNA". It matches the Rfam family "Bacterial small subunit ribosomal RNA", at positions 524 to 776 of the family's 1533-position model. The record is from RNAcentral.